AUAUCCUAACUCUGGCAUGGUUUCUUCAGGUAUGGCCACCAGGACAGUCCAGAGGUCAGCCGGAAGUUGGAGCUGGAAGCUGCAGUGGCACGCCUGCGCACAGAGAUCCAAGAGUUAGACCAGAGCCUGGAGCUGAUAGAGCAAGAGGCUGAGGCUCAAGACCUGGCUGUGGAGCAGAUGCUGCAGAGCACACGGGACACCCAAUAUCGAGCUCUCCUCCUCCGGGCCCAAACUGGAAACCUGCGAAGACAGCAGCAUGGACUGCGAGUCCCCACAUAGCAGCUGCAGAAUCAGCUCAGGUGCCUACAGGACAUAGAGAGGUGGGCCUCAUCUGCCCAAGAGACCAGAUGUCACCAGGUGGCCACACAUUUACCUCUGAGAUCCCAAUGUUCUUACCUGAUCCUUACUGGAUUCCGGAAUUCUGCACAACCAACCCUAGGAUUUAAGGCCCAUAAGCCCAGUUAGUUUUGCACCAUCUCUUGGGUAACAACAAUAGACAUAGGAUAGGCCCCUGUUUAUGCUCCUGGACCUUAUGCUCUGAUGCAGAGAAGGCUGACUGCAAACUAGGAAACAGAUCCUGUCAUUUUGGGGAGAAAUAAGUUCAAUGAAGAAAAGACUGUGUGACCAAGGGAAAGGUGUUUGCUACCUGAGCUAGGAUGCUCAGGACAGGCCUCUCUGAGGAGGUAACCUGGGUUGGGGCACAAAUAUUCAUAGAGAGGGAACAGCCAGGCUCCAAUCUUGGCCUUCAGGAAGAGCUGCCAAGAGGCAAAUACAGCUCAGUAUUUGAAGACAGGAGGGACUAGAUGAAGGGUGAGAUAGGAGAAGCAGUCAGAGGGCCCUGGAGGCAUAGGAGUUUUACUGGUAGAUGGAAUUCAUGCCCCACCUUGGCCAUUUAUAACUGUGUGAGCUUAGGCAAGGGACUUAACUUCUUUGUACCUCAAUUUCUAAAAGCUAUCUAUGCUAAGCCUCAGGCUAGCAUCAUUCUGAAUGGAGAAAAAUUGAAGGCAUUCCCUCUAAAAUCUAGAACAAGACAGGGAUGCCCUCUCUCACCACUUCUAUUCAAUAUAGUUCUCAAAAUACUGGCCAGAGCAAUUAGACAGACGAAAGAAAUUAAAGGCAUAAAGAUAGGAAAAGAAGAACUUAAAUUAUCACUAUUUGCGGAUGACAUGAUCCUAUACCUAGCAGACCCAAAAGGUUCUACAAAGAAACUACUAGAGCUAAUAAAUGAAUUCAGCAAAGUGGCAGGAUAUAAAAUCAACAUGCAUAAGUCAAAGGCAUCACUGUAUAUCAGCGACAAAUCUUCUGAAAAGGAAAUGAGGACAACCACCCCAUUUACAAUAUCCUCAAAAAAAAAAUAAAAUACUUGGGAAUCAACCUAACAAAAGAGGUGAAAGAUUUAUACAAUGAAAACUACAGAACCCUAAAGAAAGAAAUAGAAGAAGAUCUUAGAAGAUGGAAAAAUAUACCCUGUUCAUGGAUAGGCAGAACUAACAUCAUCAAAAUGGCAAUAUUACCAAAAGUUCUCUAUAGGUUUAAUGCAAUGCCAAUCAAAAUCCCAAAGGCAUUUCUUAUAGAAAUAUAUAAAGCAAUCAUGAAAUUCAUCUGGAAAAAUAAAAGACCCAGAAUAGCAAAAGCAAUUCUAAGCAGGAAGAGUGAAACAGGCAGUAUAGCAAUACCAGACUUCAAACUAUACUAUAGAGCAAUAGUAACAAAAACAUCAUGGUACUGGUACCAAAACAGGCGAGUGGACCAAUGGUACAGAAUAGAGGACACAGAGACCAAUCCACAAAAUUACAACUAUCUUAUAUUUGACAAAGGUGCUAAAAGCAUGCAAUGGAGAAAAGAUAGCAUCUUCAACAAAUGGUGCUGGGAAAACUGGAAAUCCAUAUGCAACAAAAUGAAUCUGAAUCCCUUUCUCUCACCAUGAACAAAAGUUAAGGAUCAAGGAGCUUGAUAUCAAAACAGAGACUGAGUCUGAUAGAAGAAAAAGUUGGCUCUGAUCUACAUAUUGUGGGGUCGGGCUCCAAAUUCCUUAAUAGGACACCCAUAGCACAAGAGUUAAAAACAAGAAUCAACAAAUGGGACUUACUCAAACUAAAAAGUUUUUUCUCAGCAAGAGAAAUAAUAAGAGAGGUAAAUAGGGAGCCUACAUUCUGGGAACAAAUUUUUACUCCUCACACUUCAGAUAGAGCCCUAAUAUCCAGAGUAUACAAAGAACUCAAAAAGUUAAACAAUAAGAAAACAACCCAAUCAACAAAUGGGCCAAGGACCUGAACAGACACUUCUCAGAGGAGGACAUACAAUCAAUCAACAAGUACAUGAAAAAAUGCUCACCAUCUCUAGCAGUCAGAGAAAUGCAAAUUAAAACCACCCUAAGAUACCAUCUCACUCCAGUAAGAUUGGCAGCCAUUAUGAAGUCAAACAAUAACAAGUGCUGGCGAGGAUGUGGGGAAAAGGUGGGACUGCAAAUUGGUGUGGCCAAUUUGGAAAGCAGUAUGGAGAUACCUCGGAAAGCUGGGAAUGGAACCACCAUUUGACCCAGCUAUCCCCCUUCUCGGUCUAUUCCCCAAAGACCUUAAAAGAGUGUAUUAUAGGGAUACAGCUACAUCCAUGUUCAUAGCAACACAAUUCACAAUAGCUAGACUGUGGAACCAACCUAGAUGCCCUUCGAUAGAUGAAUGGAUAAAAAAAAUGUGGCAUUUAUACACAAUGGAGUAUUACUCAGCACUAAAAAAUGACAAAAUCAUGGCAUUUGCAGGGAAAUGGAUGGCAUUAGAGCAGAUUAUGCUAAGUGAAGCCAGCCAAUCCCUAAAAAACAAAUGCCAAAUGUCUUCUUUGAUAUAAGGAGGGCAACAAAGAACAGAACAGGGAGGAAGAGCAUGAGAAGAUCACCAUUAAACAGGGACGAGAGGGGGAGGGAAAGGGAGAGAGAAGGGAAAUUGCAUGGAAAUGGAAGGAGACCCUCAUUGUUGCACAAAAUUACAUAUAAGAGGAAGUGAAGGGAAAGGGAAAAAAAACAAGAGAGA
Long non-coding RNA from Marmota monax (woodchuck), 3026 nucleotides. RefSeq lists it as uncharacterized. The transcript has 3 exons. NCBI's taxonomy places the organism in Eukaryota, Metazoa, Chordata, Mammalia, Rodentia, Sciuridae. The record is from RefSeq and is a predicted model, not a curated record.